GCACUGGUGGUUCAAUGGUAGAAUGCUCGCCUCCCAAGCGGGCAAUCCGGGUUCGAUUCCAGGCCAGUGCA
This 71-nucleotide transfer RNA is filed under the name Parasteatoda tepidariorum (common house spider). Its description in RNAcentral is "transfer RNA glycine (anticodon CCC)". It matches the Rfam family "tRNA". From Rfam's summary of the family: Transfer RNA (tRNA) molecules are approximately 80 nucleotides in length. Their secondary structure includes four short double-helical elements and three loops (D, anti-codon, and T loops). Lineage: Eukaryota; Metazoa; Arthropoda; Arachnida; Araneae; Theridiidae. The record is from RNAcentral.